GCUUGCUAAUGAAACCUUUUGGAUGAACUGAGCUGAAACAAGAUUUGCAUUAUCAGAUGAAAUCUUAUUCUAUCUCUGUGGUGUCUGUGCCACUCAAUUUUCUUUCUAUUUUCUUUUUCCCUUUGGUUGAACCAUCUUCUUCUUCUUCUUCUUCUUCUUCAUCCCUCUCUCUCUCUUUUUUUUCCCCCCAUUGAUGGGCGUGACUUUGAUGUUUGUUGUAUAGACCUUGGACCUUAUUGUUGUGGAUCAUUCAUAACUUCUACAACCUCCAAGGUGGUUUAUAGCUUAAAUUUUAGGCCAAGUGCAACGCUUAAGAGCAGAUUUUAAGUCAAUGAGCAACUCGUUGCAAGGCUUACUGUUUAAUAGUUUAUAAUUUUGUGGCUCAUGUAG
This 390-nucleotide unclassified non-coding RNA is filed under the name Hevea brasiliensis (rubber tree). Lineage: Eukaryota; Viridiplantae; Streptophyta; Magnoliopsida; Malpighiales; Euphorbiaceae. The record is from RNAcentral.